RNAcentral lists this ribosomal RNA (508 nucleotides) under uncultured bacterium. RNAcentral's name for it is "partial 16S ribosomal RNA". It matches the Rfam family "Bacterial small subunit ribosomal RNA", at positions 30 to 523 of the family's 1533-position model. The record is from RNAcentral.
AUUGAACGCUGGCGGCAUGCCUUACACAUGCAAGUCGAACGGCAGCGGGGGAGAAGCUUGCUUUUCCUGCCGGCGAGUGGCGAACGGGUGAGUAAUACAUCGGAACGUGCCCUGUAGUGGGGGAUAACUAGUCGAAAGAUUAGCUAAUACCGCAUACGACCUGAGGGUGAAAGUGGGGGACCGCAAGGCCUCAUGCUAUAGGAGCGGCCGAUGUCUGAUUAGCUAGUUGGUGGGGUAAAGGCCUACCAAGGCGACGAUCAGUAGCUGGUCUGAGAGGACGAUCAGCCACACUGGGACUGAGACACGGCCCAGACUCCUACGGGAGGCAGCAGUGGGGAAUUUUGGACAAUGGGCGCAAGCCUGAUCCAGCAAUGCCGCGUGUGUGAAGAAGGCCUUCGGGUUGUAAAGCACUUUUGUUCGGGAAGAAAAGAUUCGUGCUAAUACCAUGGGUCGAUGACAGUACCUGAAGAAUAAGCACCGGCUAACUACGUGCCAGCCGCCGCCGUAA